GCUCAGUGAGGACUUCGUGAGCGUGAAGGUAGACCGUGAGGAGCGGCCUGACGUCGACAAGGUGUACAUGACGUUCGUGCAGGUGAGCAGCCCUCCUCGGGAGUGUAUGCGCCACAUGGGGUCAGGGCAGCUCCCCUCACCCUCGCUCUCUCUCUGCCAGGCCACCAGCAGUGGCGGGGGCUGGCCCAUGAAUGUGUGGCUGACUCCCAACCUCCAGCCCUUUGUCGGGGGCACCUAUUUCCCUCCUGAGGAUGGCUUGACCCGAGUCGGCUUCCGCACAGUGUUGCUGAGAAUACGAGAACAGUGGAAACAGAACAAGAACACCCUGCUAGAAAAUAGCCAGCGUGUCACCACCGCCCUGCUGGCCCGAUCAGAGAUCAGCGUGGGUGACCGCCAGCUGCCGCCCUCUGCCGCCACCAUGAACAAUCGCUGCUUCCAGCAGCUGGACGAGGGCUAUGAUGAGGAAUAUGGUGGCUUCGCUGAGGCCCCCAAGUUUCCCACGCCGGUGAUCUUGAGCUUCCUGUUCUCCUACUGGCUCAGCCAUCGACUGACUCAGGAUGGCUCUCGGGCCCAGCAGAUGGCCUUGCAUACCCUGAAAAUGAUGGCUAACGGGGGCAUCCGGGACCACGUGGGGCAGGUGAUGGGCACUGGGUGUUCCCUGGAGGGGCAGCAGGGGGCUGUGGGGUGGGGCAGAGGCUGGGACUGGCCUCCAGCUUUGUAUCUGCACAGGGCUUUCACCGAUACUCCACAGACCGCCAGUGGCACGUCCCUCACUUUGAGAAGAUGCUCUAUGACCAGGCACAGCUCGCUGUGGCCUAUUCGCAGGCCUUCCAGAUCUCUGGCGAUGAAUUCUACUCUGAUAUGGCCAAAGGCAUCCUGCAGUACGUGGCUCGGAGCCUGAGCCACCGGUCUGGAGGCUUCUAUAGCGCUGAGGAUGCAGACUCGCCCCCAGAGCGGGGCAUGCGGCCCAAAGAGGGCGCCUACUAUGUGUGGACGGUCAAAGAGGUUCAGCAGCUCCUCCCGGAGCCUGUGCUGGGUGCCACCGAGCCGCUG
RNAcentral lists this small RNA (1053 nucleotides) under Pongo abelii (Sumatran orangutan). RNAcentral describes it as "retained intron". Lineage: Eukaryota; Metazoa; Chordata; Mammalia; Primates; Hominidae. The record is from RNAcentral.